GGCGCCCGCGUAUGGGGAUGGGGCGCCGCCGCUCUCUCCUCGUCACGUUUUAAUAGUCGGCCAGAGCCUUUACGAUUUCAGUUACUUAGCUUUUUUCAAAUGUAAAUACGGCGAUUUUACCUUUUAUAAGUGGUCCAAAGUUUAAGCUAUAUUUAUAUAUAAUUAUAAUAUUGUCCUAUUGUCAACUCAUAGUCAACUGCAGUAAAAUGUCAACCAUUGUCAACUCAUUUUGACAGUUGUCACAUCAUCUAUUAAAAGGUGCACAUCUGAGAAUACAAAUUCUAGUAUAUAUUUACACAGGUAUUUUGUAAUUAUUUACUGGUCAUAAAUUGGCUCAAAUGGCGGAUUUAAGUCAACUAUAUUGGUCCAUAAAAGAUGUUCGCUCUGUUGUGUGAUGUGACUGACUAUGUCCCGCUCGCACAGUGUCAUUGACAGCCGGCAUCAUGGACGGAACAGCAUACGAUAAAGAUAAGAACAGGUUCGAGUACCGACGGUGGAAAGAUUCCAGCGCGUGCGAAACCGGAGCAGAGAUUGUGAUAUUUAGCUUGAUCCCCUCCCCCUGAACACCUCACGUAAUUAAUGGACGCCCCCUACCGAAAGUGACGAAGCAAGUGGAGUGUGCGCUACGGCCGGACACCUGACGCUGGAAGGGUGGGUUAACAACUGGUAAUUUCACUUUUUCGAUAUUCGUGAGAGAACUAGGUAUGAUAACAUUGUUUACCUAAACAUCUCAACAAAAAUCAUUAAGAUGCCGUAAUCGAUUUUAGUCGCAAAAAUGUAAAACUGAUAGAUUUAGUCGAUGAAUUGUACACCUGUUGUUAACUAUUACUGUAGUUAGCAAUAACAAGUACUGGUUUCUAUUAGCACGUCUUGUUAUUUUUCAUUUCUAUAAAUAUAUUUUUUAAACCAA
Cydia pomonella (codling moth) is the source of this 910-nucleotide long non-coding RNA. RefSeq lists it as uncharacterized. The record is from RefSeq and is a predicted model, not a curated record. NCBI's taxonomy places the organism in Eukaryota, Metazoa, Arthropoda, Insecta, Lepidoptera, Tortricidae. The transcript is spliced from 3 exons.